AGUGAACGCUGGCGGUAGGCCUAACACAUGCAAGUCGAACGGCAGCACAGUAAGAGCUUGCUCUUACGGGUGGCGAGUGGCGGACGGGUGAGGAAUACAUCGGAAUCUACUUUUUCGUGGGGGAUAACGUAGGGAAACUUACGCUAAUACCGCAUACGACCUACGGGUGAAAGCAGGGGAUCUUCGGACCUUGCGCGAUUGAAUGAGCCGAUGUCGGAUUAGCUAGUUGGCGGGGUAAAGGCCCACCAAGGCGACGAUCCGUAGCUGGUCUGAGAGGAUGAGCGGCAACACUGGAACUGGAAAGCGGUCCAGACCCCUAGGGGGGGCAGAAGGGGGGAAUAUUGAAGAAGGGGCGCAGGCUGGACCCACCAAUACCGGGGGGGGAAAAAAGGCCUUGGGGUUGAAAGCCCUUUUUGUGGGAAAAAAAAAGCAGCAGGUUAAUCCCCCCGUGUUCUGACGGUCCCAAAAAAAAAAGCCCGGGCUAACUUCGUC
This 492-nucleotide ribosomal RNA is filed under the name uncultured bacterium. Its description in RNAcentral is "partial 16S ribosomal RNA". It matches the Rfam family "Bacterial small subunit ribosomal RNA", at positions 29 to 507 of the family's 1533-position model. The record is from RNAcentral.